GCAGCAUUGGGAAUGGCUAUAAAAGCAGAGUGGCUUUCAUUCAUUUUAAUCCUCCUUGCAAAUCAGAAAAGAAAGUCUGAUUCAGUUUGAUCUCUCCAAAUUGUGGAGAAACCGAAGAAUAAUGGAAUGAUAAUUGGGUUUGUCUGAGUCUGGUCCGGUGACAGGGAUAGAAUCUGGUAGCUAGGCUGGGUUAGUUUAGUGAGAUUAAAAAAGAGUCUCCACCUUCAUUUAUUUAAAAAGUGGAGUAUCUGCUUCAGCACUGCCCAAAAGGGUGUUUACAUAUAUUUAUAUAAAUAUAGUAUCCUCAGUUUCAAGUCUGAACAAGAAAGAGAAAAACAAACCUCACAUUCAAUAACAAAGACACAGUCAUUGAGAGAUAGGGGUUGCUUAAAUUUUCAAGCUUUUGUAGAAAGAGA
This is a non-coding RNA of Cajanus cajan (pigeon pea), 416 nucleotides long. Lineage: Eukaryota; Viridiplantae; Streptophyta; Magnoliopsida; Fabales; Fabaceae. The record is from RefSeq and is a predicted model, not a curated record.